AGUCGAGCGGAUGAGUGGAGCUUGCUCCAUGAUUCAGCGGCGGACGGGUGAGUAAUGCCUAGGAAUCUGCCUGGUAGUGGGGGAUAACGUUUCGAAAGGAACGCUAAUACCGCAUACGUCCUACGGGAGAAAGUGGGGGAUCUUCGGACCUCACGCUAUCAGAUGAGCCUAGGUCGGAUUAGCUAGUUGGUGGGGUAAUGGCCCACCAAGGCGACGAUCCGUAACUGGUCUGAGAGGAUGAUCAGUCACACUGGAACUGAGACACGGUCCAGACUCCUACGGGAGGCAGCAGUGGGGAAUAUUGGACAAUGGGCGAAAGCCUGAUCCAGCCAUGCCGCGUGUGUGAAGAAGGUCUUCGGAUUGUAAAGCACUUUAAGUUGGGAGGAAGGGCAGUAAGUUAAUACCUUGCUGUUUUGACGUUACCAACAGAAUAAGCACCGGCUAACUUCGUGCCAGCAGCCGCGGUAAUACGAAGGGUGCAAGCGUUAAUCGGAAUUACUGGGCGUAAAGCGCGCGUAGGUGGUUCAGCAAGUUGGAUGUGAAAGCCCCGGGCUCAACCUGGGAAUUGCAUCCAAAACUACUGAGCUAGAGUACGGUAGAGGGUGGUGGAAUUUCCUGUGUAGCGGUGAAAUGCGUAGAUAUAGGAAGGAACACCAGUGGCGAAGGCGACCACCUGGACUGAUACUGACACUGAGGUGCGAAAGCGUGGGGAGCAAACAGGAUUAGAUACCCUGGUAGUCCACGCCGUAAACGAUGUCGACUAGCCGUUGGGAUCCUUGAGAUCUUAGUGGCGCAGCUAACGCGAUAAGUCGACCGCCUGGGGAGUACGGCCGCA
Molecule: ribosomal RNA, 835 nt
Filed under: Pseudomonas aeruginosa
Lineage: Bacteria; Pseudomonadati; Pseudomonadota; Gammaproteobacteria; Pseudomonadales; Pseudomonadaceae
Description: bacterial SSU rRNA
Rfam family: Bacterial small subunit ribosomal RNA
Source: RNAcentral